GUCAAUGUAGCUCAUUGGAAAGAGCGGUCAGAAGCGCGCGACAACAAGGCUGACAGGAAAUGGUUCGAUUCCAUUCUUUGGCA
RNAcentral lists this transfer RNA (83 nucleotides) under Faecalimonas nexilis. RNAcentral describes it as "tRNA-OTHER". It matches the Rfam family "tRNA". Rfam says of the family: Transfer RNA (tRNA) molecules are approximately 80 nucleotides in length. Their secondary structure includes four short double-helical elements and three loops (D, anti-codon, and T loops). The record is from RNAcentral. RNAcentral also lists the same sequence under 1 other name. Lineage: Bacteria; Bacillati; Bacillota; Clostridia; Lachnospirales; Lachnospiraceae.